UUAUCUGUGAAGUCAGAGCAUCUCUUUCAAGUGUAAAUAAUACACUGGAUUAUUAUAAAGUUCCUCCAAGCAACAGUCUCCAAUGAUCACCCACCAUAUAAUUUUCCUUUAGUUCUCCAGUGCAUUGACAAUCCCAAGGAAAGCAUUCAUUUUAACCCCCAAAUUAAGGACAUAAAUAGACCUUUUAAAUAUGUGUUUUUACACUGCUUUUUAAAAACAUUGUAAACACUUAAAAAAUGUGUUAACUCAAGAGGCAGUCUUGGGAACAAUACACAACAGUCUGUGAUAUGUGGAUAUUAUGAUUAACAGCAUUUGAAUUUCUACAAAUCGCAAAGGGGACAUGUCCCUUUGAUGUAUUUGCAAACCUUUAUGUAAGUGACAAAUCCCUACAGAUAUUUUAAAGGCUUAUUAUAAGGAGAAGUAAUCUAUGACAAUAUAAUUUUCCAGUUGCUGGAAAUUACUUUCUAUUGGCCGUAAUGAAAGCACACGCCAGCCCUCCCCUGUGCUUGGGCUGCAAGGCGAGCAAGCUGGUAUUUGAUGCUGUGCACUUGGACGUCAGGCCUUGAACCGGUUGGAGGACUGCCUGGAGGUGCUGAGGAGCCCGCGGGGACACAGCGGAGUUCGGGGCUUGGAUAGGGGCACCCUCGGGCGUGCCAGGUCGCCUGGGUGACCAUCAGCUACAGUCCCUCAGGACAAGCUCCAGAGUCA
RNAcentral lists this long non-coding RNA (708 nucleotides) under Capra hircus (goat). Its description in RNAcentral is "lncRNA (ENSCHIG00010012730.1)". Lineage: Eukaryota; Metazoa; Chordata; Mammalia; Artiodactyla; Bovidae. The record is from RNAcentral.